RNAcentral lists this ribosomal RNA (237 nucleotides) under uncultured bacterium. RNAcentral describes it as "partial 16S ribosomal RNA". It matches the Rfam family "Bacterial small subunit ribosomal RNA", at positions 15 to 239 of the family's 1533-position model. The record is from RNAcentral.
GAUCAUGGCCCAGGACGAACGCUGGCGGCGCGCCUAAUACAUGCAAGUCGAACGAGAGCGACCGGUGCUUGCACUGGUCAAUCUAGUGGCGAACGGGUGAGUAACACGUGGGUAACCUGCCCAUCAGAGGGGGAUAACAUUCGGAAACGGAUGCUAAAAUCGCAUAGGUCUUCGAACCGCAUGGUUUGAAGAGGAAAAAGAGGCGCAAGCUUCUGCUGAUGGAUGGACCCGCGGUGC